GCUUAGAUAGCUUAAAUUUAAAGCUUAACUUUGAAGUAGUUAUUAUAGAUUUUAUAUCUUCUAAGUA
RNAcentral lists this transfer RNA (67 nucleotides) under Erthesina fullo. RNAcentral's name for it is "tRNA-Phe". Lineage: Eukaryota; Metazoa; Arthropoda; Insecta; Hemiptera; Pentatomidae. The record is from RNAcentral.